UACGGAGGAGGCAAGCGUUAUCCGGAAUUAUUGGGCGUAAAGCGUCCGCAGGUGGCACCUCAAGUCUGCUGUCAAAGACCGGGGCUUAACCCCAGAAAGGCAGUGGAAACUGAAGCGCUAGAGUGCAGUAGGGGUAGAGGGAAUUCCCGGUGUAGCGGUGAAAUGCGUAGAGAUCGGGAAGAACAUCGGUGGCGAAAGCGCUCUGCUGGACUGCAACUGACACUGAGGGACGAAAGCUAGGGGAGCGAAUGGG
Molecule: ribosomal RNA, 253 nt
Filed under: uncultured bacterium
Lineage: Bacteria
Description: partial 16S ribosomal RNA
Rfam family: Bacterial small subunit ribosomal RNA
Source: RNAcentral